GUCAUUAUAGGAAUCGAGUGAAACGUUACACCACUAGAUCAUCGCCUUAAUUGUUGAAUAUAAAAUAAAAUAAAGUAUAUUGUCAUUACUUAGAUGAACCAACAUUAAAGUAUAUUGUCAUAUAUCCAAACAAUGUAAUUCUUACCAACAGAUGUUGGUUCAAGUGAUACAUGCUUGAUUCCCCUUAAGCAAGGUCUCGUAUUCGAGUCUUGUGGAUGAAAAAAUGCCCGCUGAGAGAGUUAGCCCCACAUAUCUAUGGAUGUUCCCGGCUCAGACAAGAUUGCCUCCAGUGCGAGGAUACCUAUGAGAAACCAAAAAAAUAAAUAAUGUAAUUCUUCAAUUACAUAAAAAUUGUAUCCAAAUGAUAAAGAUAAUAAUGUUGUUCAAUGAUAUACUAGCUUUAUAAGUUGCCAAUAAAAUAUCACAAUUAAAUAAAUAACAAUAGAGUGUGUUUUGUAUAUAAGUGGCCUUGCUUUUGGCUUAUUAUUUGAGUUUUUCUUUGUUGAUUAAAACUUUAAUAUUUUAUAAUUAUAUAUUUAAUUUGUAUAAUGAUUUUUUAUUGUACAAUGAAAAUUUUGAACAAUAUAUUAAAAUCAAAAUAAAAUUUGAAUAAGGUAAUUAUAUUAUACUCUGAAUUUUUUAGUCUGAACAAAGAUCUUAGUCCUAAUAUUUAAAAAAAUGUAAUUAGAAAAAUCUUAGUUUUUCAUAUUUUUAUAAUAUUUCCAUUGAAAAUGAUUAGUAAUUUUAUAAUUAUUUACAUCAUUUUUUAAAAUUAUUAGUAAUUAUUUCUGAUAAUUAUCAAUUUAUAUUUAUUUACUUAUUCACUAUUUAUAAUUAACUUACAAUUUUUAGAAAUUAUUUUGUAAUUUUAUUUUAGUUUGGUGUAAUUAAUAUGAUAUAAUAAAUUUUAAAAUAGUAAAUUUGACCAAUAAAUUAUUAGAAGCUGAUAUAUUUUCGGGAAAAUUUAGUUUCUUUACUAAAAGUUACAAGUUAAUUUUUUCAACAAAUGACUCUAGUGGUUUAUUGAGUCAAUAAACUAUAAAAUUGCAAAUUUGUAUUGCUAUAAUAGCUACUUGAUCUUAGGAUUUUCCUAAUAGUGUUUUUUUGGAUGAAUGGGUAUUGAUAAUAGUUAAGAUUCACUAAACUUAUGAUUUUCACAAAUUGUCAUUAAAUCAUCAUUUGUUUUAAACAUUAAACUCAACACUUCUCUGCAUAGCAUCCACCACAAAAUUUAAAGCUCAUAAAACUCUCACAAAUCAACAUCACAUCAUUAUUUUCUUCAUAAGGCUCAAAUUCAUUUCAAGAAUAAUGCUUUCUGUGUUCCCCAUUACCUGUCUGUAGGAUAUAAACAUAAAACGAUGUAGCUAAUUAAUAUAGUUAAAUCUCAUAAUGUUUUUUUUUGUUUUUCAUAUAUUUAUUUCUAAAUUAAUUACUAUUAAUAUUGCUUCACUAAUUAAAUCCUACUAUAAGUUAUGCUGAUGACAUAAUUGAAAAAGUAGUUAUUCAUACUUUAUUAAAUUUCUAAGUUAGAAAUGGAUAGGUAAAUAAAAACAUUUUUUCUCCAAAAUGACAAUAGGGAAGGGAAUGAGUAAUCACAUAUUGUUUCUAACAAUUUUUUCAAAUAUUUUCCAUUAGAAUAUAUAUCUAAUUUUAUAAAGAAGUACAAAAUCAUAAUUAAAAGUUAGAAAAAAGAAAAACAUAUAGCAUGUAUUUCUCCUAAAUUAGAUUUCAAUACCUUUCUACUAUUUUCAUAAUUAUUCUUGUCAAUUAUUCAAUUGUUCUAAAUUCACUUUUAAUUCCUAUUUGAGUUAAGGAUAAAUUAAUUGUUAUAAUUAAAUGAGUUUUUCAAUCCUCGUGGGAUCAAUAUUUUAUUAUUUGACGACAUAAUCGUGCACCUGCGAUUUGUCCUAUCACCCAUGAAGGCACUAGUGAGGUCAAGCGGACUAGAUUAAAUGCAUUGUCACAUGAGUAUGAUUUAUUUUGCAUGUUUCCUUAUGAAUUUAUUAAUGAUAUGCAAAUGCGAUUUACUCACAUUGUUAACCUUCUUGUUGCAUUACAUAAAGUGUUUGCUAAAGAUGUAUUGACUAACAAAGUUUUAAGAUGUUAGAUAGGUAAUGGCAAGCAAGGGUGACAACUAUAAUGGAAUCAAUAGACUUGGAUUCUAUGUCACUCACAACACUUUUCAGAAAGCUUCAAGAACACGAGAUGGAGCUAGGACGCUUGACACUUUAUGAACAAACGAACAAGAACAACAAAUGAAUCUCUUUCAAAGCCACAUCUUCACAUUCAAAGUAGAGCUGUCAAAAUGGGCUACCUAGACGGAUUCGGGCUAGCCCGAAUCAGGCUCGGUCUAGAUUUGACUGGGUUAAAAAACCCAGUUCUAAUUUAUAGAUACAAAAUUGCUACCCAAACCCGUUUUAAGCCGGCCACGAGCUGUGGCAGGCCAGCCUGCAUAACAUCAUUGAAUAAAAAAAUACUUUGAUUAUUUUAAAUAGUUUUUUUCCUCCUAUUUUUAAUUAUUAAAUUUGAUUUUUAUGUUAUCGAAAUUUAUAUUGUUUCAGUUAUAUCAAUCUGUGCUAUGUUCAACAACAAACAAAGCACAAACUAAAGAAGGUAGAUGGCUCAUACUUGUGUUAUUUGGUUGCAUCAGACUAUCAAUAUUGCGCACUAGCCAAUAGUCAUAUUCUCUUCAUAUUUGUUUUUUGUUGAAUUGUCAGAAUUAUAUUAUUCCACCUCCAAUGAUCAUCGCUUGGAGUUGGAGGUUUUAAGGAUGAUUAAAAUGAUUACCAAAUUUAUAAUUAUUUUUUCUUAAAUUUUAAUAGAAUUAUAAGUAAUUUUGGAUAAGUUUAUCUUGAACUACAAUUUUUAAUGACAGUACACAUUUCAUUGCACAAACAUCACAUGCAUUUUCAUCUCAUGAUUAUAAUCUAGAAAUAGAGCCCAAGCAGACAAGAUUGAAGAGGUGUUACAUUAUUAUUUUUGGAGACAGUCUGAACAUGAUUUUCAUUUUAUCUAGUUACAGCACUUCUAUAAAAACUGUUUACCUAAAUCAAAAGAUUUUGCAUUACUAUUUUUGGAGAUGUGCACAUGUUCCAUUAAAAAUAUAUUCUAGUUUCUUGAUAGCAUAUGUUCAUGAAACCGUUUAACCCUCAUUGUAACCAUGUUCCACCAUGAUUCCCAAAGUCAAGAAUACUCAUGAUCUUUCACUUGAUGGGUAGCAUAAUCCUACUAUGGCCAACAUCCAGUGUGCUCCAUUAGGUCAGAAAACAACUAGUAACAGUAAUUUUGAAUCUUAAUCAUUACUGAAGUAUAUAUAAGUUAAAGAUUAGGUGGAAUAUGGGAAGCAUGGAGAUAUCUCGCAUGAGUGGGUAACCAUAUUAAGUCCUAGAUCCUGCAAAAAAAGGAAUUUAUAUAUUUUCAAAUUUUUAGAGUUCAAUGAAAAAUGGAGUAAGAUAAGGAAAAUCUAACCUGAAGUUAUUUUGUGUGAUAGAGAAAGAAACACUGUAUUUGAAAAUUUGAGAGACAUUGAAAGGUCUUCGAUUUUACUUAAGUUUGAGAGAGUGAAAAAACACUACAUUUGUUUCUCCCUUCGCAAAUGGGAAGUGGAAAGAAAAGUUAUUUUGUUAUUGUGCCAAACCAGUGUACAACGGAUAUAAAAAUGAAUGUGCAAUCCGAACCCGCCCGGACCGGACUAAAAUGCCUGGUUUCAAUAAAAUUCAUAUAAUAAGAUACCCAUGUCCUAUACUUUUUUGGGCUUCGGUGGGCUAGCCUAGUAGGCCCGACCCCUUUUGACAGAUCUAAUUCAAAGAAUCAAGAAGAAAAAUUUAGCGAUGAUGAGUUCGAUUUGAUAUGGAUGACGAAACUAUGUCCCUCCUUAUCAACAAAUUCAGAAAGUUGUUAAGAAGUAAGGGAGGAUUCAGAAUGUUUUAGAAAGAAUAUGCAAAAGACUUGAUCAAGAAGGGCAUGUAUCCUAAAGACAAAGUGACUUGCCAUGAGUGUGGGAAAGUAGGGUACAUGAGGUACACAUGUCACACUUUUAUCAAUAAGAUUGAGCAUGAUAAGAAAGACUAUGGGGAAAUCAAAUCUAAGAAGGCAUAUAUAGUUGGGGAUGCAGUAGAAGAGGACACACCAACAAGCACCUCAAAAGAUAAAGAAUUGAACAAGUUAUGCUUUAUGACGCAAAAUCCGAAUUCGUGUCAAGCAAGUGAGCAAGAUGAAUCUAGUGAGGUAAGCUCUUCCGAUUCUAGUUCUAAUUCCGAUGAUUCCCCCAGAUAUGAUAUGGUUUAUGCUGCUUAUGUUGAAAUGCAUGAAAAACUUAAAAAGUUAGCGAAAAAGUACGUAGAUAGGACAAAGUUGAUUUUAGAAAAUGAAAAGAAAAUUUGUGAAUUGCAAAAUUGUAUUCAUGAGCUUUAACUAGAAAAUGAAACUUUGGAUCUUAUCUAUGCUAACUCUUCAUGUGAUUGUUCUACUAAGUUAAUUUGAUGCCUACUUGUGAAAAUUGCACUUUCUUGGAAAAAGAAAGUAAAAGUUUAAAAUACAAAGUUGGAAAUUUCACAACAAUUAGUCACAACUUAUUUGCUACAUGUAAAAAUAUUGGGAAUAUGUCCGGUUUGGGAGAUAUGCAUGCAAAGAACAAAUCUUACAAGAAAUGGGUAGAUUUUUUGAAAAUUUCAUAUCUUAAGUCCCCUACUUGUUUGUAUUAUGGUAUGCAUGGUUAUAAUUUGAGUUCAUGUCAUAUUAGAAUGCAUGGUGUACCAAAUGGACAAUAUAUGUGGAUUUCUAUGGGACAAGGUCCCGAGCUAUUAAACAUCAAGGGACCCAAGAUCAUUUGCGUACCCAAGUCUUAUAAGUAAACUUGUUUUGUAGGUGUGCCUAAGGACAUAUGGACAUCAAAUCAUACUUGAAUAAUAGAUGUUCUAGGCACAUGAUAGGUGAGAAGAUCAAGUAUUAUUGACCUAUCACCUAAGGAGAAGACAAUGUCACUUAUGGAGAAAAUUGUCAAGUCAAAUGCUUGAAGUUAGAAAGAUUAUGCUCUAAAGGUAAAAAUGUAUCUCUUCUAACUCUAAGUUUUACAUAUUUUAAGUAACAUAGAUAAUGUUAUUAAAUGAGAUACUAGUGAGACCAAUUUUUUUAAAAAACCCCUAUAUAUCAUUUUUAAGGUGAAAAACUAUAUAUUUCUCAUUUACAUGCUUUUGAAUGCAAAUGCUUCAUUUUAAAUAAUUGUAACCUCCUUUUAAGCAUGUUUGAUUCAAAAGUGAAUGUAGAAAUAUUUCUAGGGUAUGCUACUCAUGAUAAAGUACAAUAAGUCUACUUUAUGUUAAGGACAAUGACCAUUUUGAAAAGUUUAUACAUUUUUUAUAUUUGACGAGCCAUCUCCAAAAGAGGAUAGGAAAGGUAUGUGUAAUGUUUUGCAUGUGCUCUUGAGGAUGCACAUUCUAAAAGAUCGAUAUACUAUGCAAGAAGAGAAAGACAAGAAUCAAGAACUUGAAGAAAGGCUAAAGAAGAUUUAAUAUAUGGCAACUUCUUGUUAUCUUGAUAAGGAUGAAAAAGGUAAAGCUAAAGAGGUAACCAUAAUACCGAGGCAUGUUUUGUUCUCUGCUGUUUUAUCAUACAUUAUGCCUGAUAUCAUGCUUAGUGUUUGCAUGUAUACUAUAUGCCUAACUAAUCCUAAAGAAUCGCACUUAUUGCCAAUAAAUGCAUGCUUUCUUGAUUGUACAUGCUUUCAUGUGUUUUGGCUCUAGUCUAGUGUGUAUUAAGUGCUUAGGAUAGGUUCUUUCUAGUGUUCUCUUAGUAAACCCUGAGACAAAUCCGAAUUGUGCUAAAAUAUGUGAUAAUGACUUAUUUAAUCGAUUGUUCUGUGUUUUAAUUGAAUACCUUAGAAAUUUCAAAAAGUGUUAAUCGAUUAUAUAAGCCCUGAAUCGAUUACCUGAACUUAUUUUUCAAAAUACUUAAUUGGUUAAACAUGGACUUAAUCAAUUUUCUGUGUUAAUUUUUCAAACCUAUUAAUUGAUUAACACAAUCGAUUACAUAUAGUUACAAAAUAAAUUCAAGUACAAUUCUAAGUUUAGUUCUGGUCUAGGUUUACCUCAUGUAUUAUGUCUUUCAUCCUCAAAUUCAUCUUGCCUUUCUUCCUAAUAUUGAAAUAUUUUAAUUUUAAGAGAGGGUGUGUUGAAUAAAAAGAUGAUAUUUACCAAUGAACAUGUAUGUUUUUCUGUUCAUAUAAACACAAUAAAAGUUCAAAAAUUAAAGCCCAUUUGAUAUAAUUGAUCUGUCGGGAAUAUUGAAAAUGUAAAAUAUAUAUCACUAUAAUUUCCAACAAUAAGUUUAUUACUACUACAUGUUCUAUAAUAUAAAGUUUAACAUAAAACAUCAAGUCCAUAUAACCACAAACAAGUUUAUUAUAUGUAGUACAUUAUUUUACAACAUGAAUGAAAAAAUGUCAAUAAACUUGCAGGUUUAGUAGUAAUGAUAAACAAAAAUACAAAUAUGUACCAUUAACACUAAAUGGCAGAGUUAUUUAAUCUAAGCAUGAAGAAUUUGACUCUAGCGUGUGGUUGAAAAGAACUAUGUUAAGAGAAAUAUAAAUAACUUUGACAAUCUUAUAUUUCAAAAGAAAUUAAUAUUAUCAAUAGUGGAACAUACCCUUGAUGCAAUGUUGUUGACUUGGAAAUCAUCUUUCUUCAUCUUGAAUCAAAAGUUACGCCUACAUUUCUUUCUAGAAGAGCAGCCCUUGUUAUAAAUUGGUUUCUUGAAGUGAGGUUUUUGAUUUUCUUUACAACCAGCCAUUCUAUUUCCAGUUAUUUUACAUAAUUCACCUUUUAUGUUGAAACCCAUAACACCUUGGUUGAGCAUAGUCAUACUUAGAAGAAGAGCACAAAGAAACAAAACCUUCAUGAUAAAGUUGAUGUUUUGAUCUUCUUUAUGCUCUAUGAUACUUUGCAACU
RNAcentral lists this long non-coding RNA (6944 nucleotides) under Lupinus angustifolius (narrow-leaved blue lupine). RNAcentral's name for it is "long non-coding RNA (LANG_LNC001500)". The record is from RNAcentral. Lineage: Eukaryota; Viridiplantae; Streptophyta; Magnoliopsida; Fabales; Fabaceae.